RNAcentral lists this ribosomal RNA (367 nucleotides) under uncultured bacterium. RNAcentral describes it as "bacterial SSU rRNA". It matches the Rfam family "Bacterial small subunit ribosomal RNA", at positions 28 to 385 of the family's 1533-position model. The record is from RNAcentral.
GAUGAACGCUAGCGACAGGCCUAACACAGUGCAAGUCGAGGGCAGCAUGAACUUAGCUUGCUAAGUUUGAUGGCGACCGGCGCACGGGUGAGUAACACGUAUCCAACCUUCCGUUUACUCAGGGAUAGCCUUUCGAAAGAAAGAUUAAUACCUGAUAGUAUGGUGAGAUUGCAUGAUAGCACCAUUAAAGAUUUAUUGGUAAACGAUGGGGAUGCGUUCCAUUAGGUAGUAGGCGGGGUUAACGGCCCACCUAGCCGACGAUGGAUAGGGGUUCUGAGAGGAAGGUCCCCCACAUUGGAACUGAGACACGGUCCAAACUCCUACGGGAGGCAGCAGUGAGGAAUAUUGGUCAAUGGGCGAGAGCCUG